UAGGGAAUCUUCCACAAUGGACGCAAGUCUGAUGGAGCAACGCCGCGUGAGUGAAGAAGGUUUUCGGAUCGUAAAGCUCUGUUGUUGGUGAAGAAGGAUAGAGGCAGUAACUGGUCUUUAUUUGACGGUAAUCAACCAGAAAGUCACGGCUAACUACGUGCCAGCAGCCGCGGUAAUACGUAGGUGGCAAGCGUGGUCCGGAUUUAUUGGGCGUAAAGCGAGCGCAGGCGGAAUGAUAAGUCUGAUGUGAAAGCCCACGGCUCAACCGUGGAACUGCAUCGGAAACUGUAAUUCUUGAGUGCAGAAGAGGAGAGUGGAAUUCCAUGUGUAGCGGUGGAAUGCGUAGAUAUAUGGAAGAGCACCAGUGGCGAAGGCGGCUCUCUGGUCUGCAACUGACGCUGAGGCUCGAAAGCAUGGGUAGCGAACAGG
This 429-nucleotide ribosomal RNA is filed under the name bacterium. Its description in RNAcentral is "partial 16S ribosomal RNA". It matches the Rfam family "Bacterial small subunit ribosomal RNA", at positions 355 to 776 of the family's 1533-position model. The record is from RNAcentral.